Molecule: transfer RNA, 124 nt
Filed under: Nanobdellota archaeon
Lineage: Archaea; Nanobdellati; Nanobdellota
Description: tRNA-Val
Source: RNAcentral
GGGCCUGUGGUCUAGCGGCUAUGAAACCGAGCAAAAAAGGGCUGAUGACUGAGAGGUGUUUUUCGGUUUAGCAGACGUCGCCUUCACACGGCGGAGUUCCCCGGUUCGAAUCCGGGCAGGCCCA